Molecule: non-coding RNA, 1045 nt
Organism: Rattus norvegicus (Norway rat)
Lineage: Eukaryota; Metazoa; Chordata; Mammalia; Rodentia; Muridae
Source: RefSeq, a predicted model, not a curated record
CGCUGGUGAAAAGUGUCCUCUGCAGAAAGGUUCCACUGGUGAAAAGUGUCCUCUGCAGAAAGGUUCCGCUGGGGGGGGGGGGGGAUGGUGCAGGUUAUGUUUGAUAAGCACCCUUUGAGAUGAGGACUACUGUGACUUAUUUUUCAAUGAAAUAAUGGAAUCACAUAACAAUGACAGGAAGAAAGGGGCAAAAAGCUUACAGACUGUGGCACCUACUGUUCAGUCAAGAGGGAGAAGUGGGGAGGCUGACUCUCCAAGGCUGCCUCCCCCACACCAGGGCUGCCGGCCUCUGCUGUGUUCCUUUGAUCUUCCCUCCUAUCUUCCCUAUCUGGCAGGAUCUGUUUAGCAGGAGACAGCUAACAUCAGGCAUCUCUGUGAGCAGCUUCCGCUGUGGGAUGCCGAAGGUAUUUGUUGGAGCACACAGCCACACCCCGCUGUCCUCCACAGGACACCGACACCUGCAGCAAGGCUGGAGGCUCCUGAGCAGCCUCCUUUCCAGCAGUGACCUGGCUAGACACCAGCGAGUCUUGGUCUGGGGACCAGAGACAACUUCACAACUCCCAGUAAGCUGAGCCCUUCAUUAGUGCGUAACUGGCUUUGUGGACCAUAAUGCAGGGGUUCCGGCUUUGCUGAACAGCGUGUCACAGAAGCGCUUGGACUGAGAGUCUCUGCCAACUGCCAUGUUGCUGUUGCCCUGCCCAGGAGAGCCAGAAGCUUUGCCACCAUGGAGAGAUUCACACACCACACCCUCCUGCCUGCCUGUGUGUGGCCAAAGAUACUAGAACUUACUUUUUUGUUGUUGUUUUGUUGUUGUUAUUGGUGGUGGUGGUUUUAGACAAGGCAUUACUCUAUACCCCAGGUUUGCCUCAAACUCAAGGGCAUCCUCCGGCCUCUGCCUCCUGAGUGCUGAGACUAUGGCUGAGUGACCGUGCCUGAGUCAAUACCAAGACUUUUCAUCUCUCUACACACUGUGCUUAGCCAUCUGAUAGUCUCCGUGCUUGGGAAACAUUCUUUUAAAGAAAACAAAAACAAAUUUAAAAGCAAA